This 483-nucleotide ribosomal RNA is filed under the name uncultured bacterium. Its description in RNAcentral is "partial 16S ribosomal RNA". It matches the Rfam family "Bacterial small subunit ribosomal RNA", at positions 30 to 506 of the family's 1533-position model. The record is from RNAcentral.
AUUGAACGCUAGCGGGAUGCUUUACACAUGCAAGUCGAACGGCAGCGCGGACUUCGGUCUGGCGGCGAGUGGCGAACGGGUGAGUAAUGUAUCGGAACGUGCCCAGUAGCGGGGGAUAACUACGCGAAAGCGUAGCUAAUACCGCAUACGCCCUACGGGGGAAAGCAGGGGAUCGUAAGACCUUGCACUAUUGGAGCGGCCGAUAUCGGAUUAGCUAGUUGGUGAGGUAACGGCUCACCAAGGCGACGAUCCGUAGCUGGUUUGAGAGGACGACCAGCCACACUGGGACUGAGACACGGCCCAGACUCCUACGGGAGGCAGCAGGGGGGAAUUUUGGACAAUGGGGGCAACCCUGAUCCAGCCAUCCCGCGUGUGCGAUGAAGGCCUUCGGGUUGUAAAGCACUUUUGGCAGGAAAGAAACGUCGCGGGCUAAUACCCCGUGGAACUGACGGUACCUGCAGAAUAAGCACCGGCGAACUACGU